AUUGAACGCUGGCGGCAUGCCUUACACAUGCAAGUCGAACGGCAGCACGGGAGCAAUCCUGGUGGCGAGUGGCGAACGGGUGAGUAAAGUAUCGGAACGUGCCCAGUCGUGGGGGAUAACGUAGCGAAAGUUACGCUAAUACCGCAUACGAUCUAUGGAUGAAAGCGGGGGAUCGCAAGACCUCGCGCGAUUGGAGCGGCCGAUAUCAGAUUAGGUAGUUGGUGGGGUAAAGGCCCACCAAGCCGACGAUCUGUAGCUGGUCUGAGAGGACGACCAGCCAGACUGGGACUGAGACACGGCCCAGACUCCUGCGGGAGGCAGCAGUGAGGAAUUUUGGACAAUGGGCGGAAGCCUGAUCCAGCCAUGCCGCGUGCAGGAUGAAGGCCUUCGGGUUGUAAACUGCUUUUGUACGGAACGAAAAGGACUGCCCUAAUACGGUGGUCCCAUGACGGUACCGUAAGAAUAAGCACCGGCUAACUACGUGCCAGCCGCCGCAGUAA
RNAcentral lists this ribosomal RNA (500 nucleotides) under uncultured bacterium. RNAcentral describes it as "partial 16S ribosomal RNA". It matches the Rfam family "Bacterial small subunit ribosomal RNA", at positions 29 to 523 of the family's 1533-position model. The record is from RNAcentral.